This 429-nucleotide ribosomal RNA is filed under the name Actinomycetes bacterium. RNAcentral's name for it is "Actinobacteria bacterium partial 16S ribosomal RNA". It matches the Rfam family "Bacterial small subunit ribosomal RNA", at positions 355 to 776 of the family's 1533-position model. Lineage: Bacteria; Bacillati; Actinomycetota; Actinomycetes. The record is from RNAcentral.
UGGGGAAUAUUGGACAAUGGGCGAAAGCCUGAUCCAGCCAUGCCGCGUGUGUGAAGAAGGUCUUCGGAUUGUAAAGCACUUUAAGUUGGGAGGAAGGGCAGUAAGCUAAUACCUUGCUGUUUUGACGUUACCGACAGAAUAAGCACCGGCUAACUCUGUGCCAGCAGCCGCGGUAAUACAGAGGGUGCAAGCGUUAAUCGGAAUUACUGGGCGUAAAGCGCGCGUAGGUGGUUCGUUAAGUUGGAUGUGAAAGCCCCGGGCUCAACCUGGGAACUGCAUCCAAAACUGGCGAGCUAGAGUACGGUAGAGGGUGGUGGAAUUUCCUGUGUAGCGGUGAAAUGCGUAGAUAUAGGAAGGAACACCAGUGGCGAAGGCGACCACCUGGACUGAUACUGACACUGAGGUGCGAAAGCGUGGGGAGCAAACAGG